Molecule: non-coding RNA, 143 nt
Filed under: uncultured Ruminiclostridium sp.
Lineage: Bacteria; Bacillati; Bacillota; Clostridia; Eubacteriales; Oscillospiraceae
Description: FMN riboswitch (RFN element)
Rfam family: FMN riboswitch aptamer (RFN element)
About the family: The RFN element is a highly conserved domain that is found frequently in the 5'-untranslated regions of prokaryotic mRNAs that encode for flavin mononucleotide (FMN) biosynthesis and transport proteins. This element is a metabolite-dependent riboswitch that directly binds FMN in the absence of proteins.
Source: RNAcentral
GUUUCAGGGCGGAGUGAAAUUCUCCACCGGUGGUAAAGUCCACGAGCCGAAGCAGGCGGAUAUUAAAGCUGAAAGCUGUAUCUGCGUGUAAAGGUUGAUUCGGUGAAAUUCCGAAACCGACGGUAUAGUCCGGAUGAAAGAAU